CCAGGGGAAUAAAUUCACUGAGCUUCUUCUCUCUCUUCCCCUGACCUCCUGGGGGGCUCCCCACCGGCCCCACCUGACCACAGCCAGAGGGUGAGAGAGGGUAGGAUCAGCAUGGAGAGUGGACCCAGAGGGAAACAGAAAACAUCACGCCCCAGAACUGGGCGUCUAUGCUUUGAACAUCCAACAGCCCAGCGUCUCAUCUUAUGGGUCCUGGUUCAGCCUGACCACAAGGCUCCUCACCUGGCAGGCCCCAGGCUCAGGGUGACAUCAGGGCUUGAUGACCUCAUAGUAUAGACCAACAGCCUGGAAACACUGGCCUUGGUAAUCCUAUCUCUGGGAUUCUAGCCUAAGGAAUGCUAAAGCCCAUAAUACUUGGGAUUCUUUUCAUUCUCUGCUAGGGAGGGCUGACCCACUGCCCACAGCAUGCACACAGUCUUGGCCUUUGCCCCACUGAGCUCGGCCAGGAAACCCCAGGGGACAGACAUCCUUGAAGACUGAUGGCGAAAACUGAUGUAAAAGGCCACAAACUGAUCACCACCUUGGUAUCAGGAAGGCCACGUGGGGACACAGUGAGAAAUCAGCCACUGGCAAGCUGAGGAGACAGGCCGCAGAAGAAGCCAAACCUUCCAACACCUUGGUGUCUGACAUGCAGCUCCCAGAACUGUGAGAAGUAAAUGUAAGCCCCCCUCCCCGACCCAUGCCGCAGUGCUCUGUCGUGGCGACCCUAGCAGACCGACAUACCCACCCACCCAGAGCAGAAUAGACUUGUGCCCCCUGGCACGCCAGGCUUCAAGGAAAUGUCUGCUGUAUCACCCCCCACACGUUGAGGUGGCUGUCCACUCACACGCCCACCUGCCCCGAAAGCCUGGGAGCUCCCCAAGAACCACGUCUAGGUCUCUGUUGUCUCACCCCAUCCUAAAUGGCGGGUGUCAGGAGGGGGUAACUGAGAUGACACGUGUAAAGCCCUCCGUGUAGAGCCGCGAGGGCUCAGCGCCCAGUGCGUCGGGAGCCCCGGGCCACCGCUCACCUGCUCAUGCCCCCAGCCGGGCCACGACAGGUGCUCCUGAGGAACUGCUGAGCUGAGUUGAAAGAUGGGCUGUGAGCAACUGAAUAUACACGCAGACAAUGGCCAGACCAAACAUAAAAACAGAACUGUGGCCCACAGCCUGCAGCACCCUGCCCAGAGAGCCAACCCACUAGCCACGGUAACCAGCCGAGGAGGCCAGUCUGCUCCAGGGCUAACUCCGGAAAGCCAAAAUGCACCCUAACCAGUCACACAGGAUGCCCCCUGCAAGCUGGCCUGCCUCCAGCUUCGCCUUUUAUCCUCUACAAAGCUUUCCUGCCCCUCCGCUGCCUUUGAGUCUCUCCUCGAUGCCGCCCACCAGCUGCUUACUCCCCUGCGGGAGCCAGCUCGGAGUAAACAGCCUGUGCUUCUCA
Molecule: long non-coding RNA, 1437 nt
Organism: Herpailurus yagouaroundi (jaguarundi)
Lineage: Eukaryota; Metazoa; Chordata; Mammalia; Carnivora; Felidae
Exons: 3
Source: RefSeq, a predicted model, not a curated record